This 379-nucleotide unclassified non-coding RNA is filed under the name uncultured delta proteobacterium. Its description in RNAcentral is "contains 16S-23S intergenic spacer region". The record is from RNAcentral. Lineage: Bacteria; Deltaproteobacteria.
UCCGGUUUAACACCGGCAGUUCCGCUAGAGUGCCCAGCCUAACUGAUGGCAACUAACGGCAAGGGUUGCGCUCGUUGCGGGACUUAACCCAACACCUCACGACACGAGCUGACGACAGCCAUGCAGCACCUGUCUUCAGGUCCCCGAAGGGUACUCCCACAUUUCUGCGGGAUUCCAUCGAUGUCAAGCCCAGGUAAGGUUCUUCGCGUUGCGUCGAAUUAAACCACAUGCUCCACCGCUUGUGCGGGCCCCCGUCAAUUCCUUUGAGUUUUAGCCUUGCGGCCGUACUUCCCAGGCGGGAUACUUAAUGCGUUAGCGACGGCACUGCCGGGGUCAAUACCAGCAACACCUAGUAUCCAUCGUUUACGGCGUGGACUAC